This 239-nucleotide ribosomal RNA is filed under the name uncultured Pseudomonadales bacterium. RNAcentral's name for it is "partial 16S ribosomal RNA". It matches the Rfam family "Bacterial small subunit ribosomal RNA", at positions 86 to 334 of the family's 1533-position model. The record is from RNAcentral. Lineage: Bacteria; Pseudomonadati; Pseudomonadota; Gammaproteobacteria; Pseudomonadales.
AGAUGAUUAGUGGCGGACGGGUGAGUAACAUUUAGGAAUCUACCUAGUAGUGGGGGAUAGCUCGGGGAAACUCGAAUUAAUACCGCAUACGACCUACGGGUGAAAGGGGGCGCAAGCUCUUGCUAUUAGAUGAGCCUAAAUCAGAUUAGCUAGUUGGUGGGGUAAAGGCCCACCAAGGCGACGAUCUGUAACUGGUCUGAGAGGAUGAUCAGUCACACCGGAACUGAGACACGGUCCGG